RNAcentral lists this long non-coding RNA (213 nucleotides) under Lathyrus oleraceus (garden pea). Its description in RNAcentral is "Pisum sativum (pea) long non-coding RNA (PSAT_LNC024426)". The record is from RNAcentral. Lineage: Eukaryota; Viridiplantae; Streptophyta; Magnoliopsida; Fabales; Fabaceae.
AGAAAACCCGCAUCCAACUGCUUCUGAACCUCUUCCUUGAUCUUAACAGCCAUAUCAGGACUAGUUCUCCGAAGCUUCUGCUUGACCGAAGGACAAUCUUCUCUGAGAGGUAGCCUAUGCACCACAAUAUCGGUAUCCAACCCAGGCAUAUCUUGAUACGACCAGGCGAAUAUCUCCACAUACUCUCUCAGCAUCUCAAUCAACCUUCUCUUG